Molecule: unclassified non-coding RNA, 766 nt
Filed under: Hevea brasiliensis (rubber tree)
Lineage: Eukaryota; Viridiplantae; Streptophyta; Magnoliopsida; Malpighiales; Euphorbiaceae
Source: RNAcentral
AAAACAGAAGAAAAAUCGACAUCAAUUGAUCCAGUGAUCGACUGAAAUCUUCAAUUUCUCUGCAGAAAUGAGUCGUCAACCGGAAGUACUUUGGGCUCAACGAUCGGAGAAAGUUUACUUGACUAUAUCAUUGCCUGAUGCUAAAGAUGUAUCGUUGAAGUGUGACGCAGAUGGUGUUUUUAAUUUCUCUGCUAUUGGUGUCAAUGGCGAUUCAUUCUCCGUCACUCUCCAGCUUUACGGGAAUGUUAUUCCUGAGCGGUGUAAAACUAAUAUUGGGUCGAGAAUUAUCCUCUGCUCAAUCCAAAAGGAGCAAAGAGGCUGGUGGCCAAGAAUAUUGAAGUCUGAAGAGAAGCCUGCUCCAUACCUCAAGGUCGAUUGGAACAAAUGGUGUGAUGAAGAUGAUGAAGAAUAUUCGGACUCUGAUGAUGGGGGUGUUGCGUAUACUGGAGAUGACGACGAGAGCAGCGAUGAUGGAGGAAUGCUCUAUCUCCCAGACCUGGAAAAGGCAAGGGGAAAUUAAAACCAGCUGCUGAAAACUUUGAAAGAGGCUGAUGAUCAUCAGAGAUGUUUAGAGUUUAGUCUUGUAGGAAGCUAAAUAUAAUGACUUUCUUGCUUAAGUAUUCAGAUGUAUAGAGGUAUUUGGAAGACUGGUUUUAAGUCAUGUGUUAGAUCUUGUUUCACCUUAUCGGGCUCGGUAAGGAGUCACUUUUGUUAGAGAGUGCUUUACCUCUCAAUACGGGAUUCUCCGGCACGAUUUUGGAUUUAU